UUAACGCAAAUUUAUAUGGAAUUGGAACAUUAGCUUACGUUUGCCACUAGGGGCGUUGAUUCAACUCCAUUCAAAUUUGAGUUA
Molecule: microRNA precursor, 84 nt
Filed under: Bombyx mori (domestic silkworm)
Lineage: Eukaryota; Metazoa; Arthropoda; Insecta; Lepidoptera; Bombycidae
Description: mir-2807 microRNA precursor family
Rfam family: mir-2807 microRNA precursor family
Source: Rfam by way of RNAcentral